CGCCAUUUUUCUGGAUAGAGGAAUAAACAAACGUGUACACUUAAUAUAACGACUGAUGUACACACCUUCUCUAUGGAGAAAUUAAAGUUAUACAACAAUCUAAAACUUCAAUUUACACGAUUAGGAAUUAGGUCAAAAAUUUCAAACCAGCAGAAAAAUACAAACUCUCCUCUUAAGAUGCUGCUUGUUUCCUUCGUUUUAUUCUUUCUAGCGCGCCAAGAGGGCCAUCACUAUCUUUAUUCUUGGCAGUAGAGUUGUCUUCUGCUUCAUCACCUUCGUCCCUCUUACGGAUUAGACCUCCAAACACUGCAUCAGGGACUUCUUUCAGUGCAAUUUCAACCUUAUCAUCAUCCUCUUCAGAAUCACUUUCCUCAGGUAGCUCGAUAUCCUCAUUGUUUGCAGUGACUUUCUGUCCAUUUGACUCAACUACUCCUGCACUAACAAAUCCAACUACCCGACUCUCUUCUUUGCUCUUUGUACCAUUUUCAGGGGGCACUAACUGUCUUUCAAGAGCUGCCAUCUCAUCAUCAGCAAUACCGGCUUUUUUCAAAACGUCCUUUGCUUCCUCAAGGGUCUGCAUCUGAUCCUUUUGCAUGAGAUACUCUGGUAGGAUAAAAUGCGUCUGGCUGUAGCUUGCAGAUACACUCCUCUUCACACGGAGCAUCUCGCGGAAGGUAUCCUCAUUACCAUGCUGCACCUCAAACUCAUGCCACUUGUUCCAGAAAUCAGGGUCAGAUCUAGGGUCUGCGAAUUGUGAUGAGUGCUUGUACAGUGCACGAGCACGAUCAAUCUCGCCUAGGCUCUUCUCAAGUUCAGCAUACUUUAAGCACAUAACUUUCACAUCCUUAUCUGGAAGCCCAGACUCAAUUGCUUGUUCAUAUAUCUCCCGUGUUCUUGGAACACCAAAUAUCUCAGCUGCACGAGCUAUAUAGAUCUCGUACAUGCUCAAUUUCUCAUUUGCUGGAACAGCUUUUGUAGCUUGAUCAUAAACCCUCAUAGCCCGCUUCGCAAGACCAUAGUCUUCCUCUAAUUUAGCAUAUUGAAGAUACAAUGGCUUCACAGCAUCAGCAGGGGUCUGUUCAACAGCAUGCUCAAAUAACUCUCUAGCUCGUUCCAACUUUGACUUCCCAUAUCUCUUAACAAAUUUGGAAAGAUAGGUAACCCAUAUAUCCUUAACAUGUGGGUACUUGAAGAUCUUCACACCCCUCUCGUAAACCUUGAAUGCAUCCUCAAAGUACUUGUGAUCCUCCAGAAGUACUGCAUAAUUUAUUAUAAUCUGUGGUGUAGCAAUUCUCAGAUCCAAAAUUCGCUCAUAGACCACACGAGUUGACUCUAAGCUUCCUAGACUCUCCUCCAAAUCCACAAACAGUAACCAAAGCCUUAGAGAUUUGUGUAGCUUAAUUUGCACUGGUUCAUUUCCAUCAGCAGCAACUCUCCGUUUGACCUCAACAGUUGGUUCAGCAGUGGCACGUCUCAUCAGUUCUAGAGCACCCUUGAAAUUCCUGUGACGUAGUUCCAUCUCGGCCCAUUCACACCAAACACUAGCCAGAUGAUCAACAGUUUUAUAAUUCACCUGCACUGCCUUAUCAAAGAUGACUCUUGCAUUUGCAAUAUCCUUAUGGUUUUCAUAAAGUUUUGCAAAUGCAACCCACAAAGUAUGUGGCUUCCCCACAGCUUUCAUUGGGUCAAUAGUUCUAACUGCCUCAGUGAACGUUAAUAUUUGCUUUGUUGGAUUCCCUUCGAAUAGUUUUACCCUUCUAUGCCACUGCUCUACAUUAUGCGGAUUUUGCCUCAAAAGCACACUAUUCGCAAGCUCUGGCCUCCUAUCCAUAAGAUGUUCUAACCUCGCUAAUCUCAAGUCAAUAUCCUUAUCAUCAUUUAGC
RNAcentral lists this unclassified non-coding RNA (1883 nucleotides) under Hevea brasiliensis (rubber tree). Lineage: Eukaryota; Viridiplantae; Streptophyta; Magnoliopsida; Malpighiales; Euphorbiaceae. The record is from RNAcentral.